AGCAUCGUUACCUAGGUGUAACUAUUGUUUUCAGUGAUUUCUUUGGCUGGGCAAAAAAAAGUGUUUCAGCAGAAAAGGAACAAGUGAUUUUAAUUUAUCCAAGGGUCCGUGAAAUGAAAUAUGCCACACUUCAAACAAAAUUUGAUGCCGGAUCAAUGAUGUCACCAUAUUCCAUCGUUAAAGAUACUUCAAUGGCUGUGGGGCUACGUGAGUACGUUCCUGGUGAUCGUUUUUCGUGGAUUCAUUGGAAAUCAUUCGCAAAAACGCAAACACUACAAUCAAAAGAAUUUGAGGAUCGUCAAUCACAGGAGCUGAUGUUAGUGCUCCAUGCCAAAAAGUCACCGUUAUUUGAAGAAAAGAUUGAGCUAGUAGCAUCAAUGUUACAAACGAUAGUAGAUGAACGAGGAGAUAUUUCAUUUGUUUCAGCAGGUGCAAAAACGAAGGUGUUUCCACCUAUACAAGGGAAUAAGCAGUUAGAUCAAGUCAUGCAUCAUUUAGCUGCUAUAAAGCCAACAGAAAAUGUGAAAUUCCAAUUAAGAGAUCAACGAGCCUUUAAGCAUGUCGCAACAAUGCUAUAUGUCACGAGCGAAGUAUCUGAUGAACUAUUACAUACUCUCGCCACUAUGGUGAAAAGCUGUAUUUGUUUUGUAGUGGCAGAACAGCCACCUAUACAAGCAGAAUUAACUAUGCGUUAUAAACAUAUACAAGUUGUAUAUGUUAAUCCACUCGAUUAUUAUCAUUUGUUCACGGAGGUGAAGAGACCGUGAAAAAAACAUUAGGAGAUUUUAUAGAAUUAACUAUUGCGUAUGUAAUUGUUUUUUUUAUUUUACGUGAAUGGCUUAUUCCGGUAAUGGAGCUAACCAAUACUGGUUUACUUCACUUAUUUUUAGUGUUUAUUGGGCUAUCCCUAGCGCUUAGCUUAUUCCGAGUACAGCCGCUAUUAUCCGGUUUAGUUAAACUUGGAUAUAUUACGUGGUUUGUAGUAUUUGUAUUUAGUAAAAAGCCUUUUUUAUCUGGUAACACAUUGCCGUUUUUAAUACAUGAAUGGAAAUGGAAUAUGACAGCCAUUUUUUCUGGAGAAUUUGGACAAGUAUCAGAUUCGUUUAGAACAGUGCUUUUCCUUGCUCUUAUUUGGAUGUUAAUAUACUUAAUUCACCACUGGAUAACGGUGCGGAAUAAUAUAUUCUAUUUCUUUGCAUUAACAGUAUUCUUUAUUGCUACUUUAGAUACAUUUAGUGACUACAAUGGCAAAGUAGCAAUUGUAAAAGUUAUUAUAUUGGGCUUAAUCAUGACAGGCUUCCUAUUUGUCAAGCGGCUAUGGCUUCAAGUCGAUGCAGCAAAUAAUGCAAUAAGAAAGUGGAAGCUUGUUAUACCUAUGAUUGUUACCGUGCUACUUGUCAGUGGAGUUGCGUUCUUUUUACCGAAGACAGGACCAACCUGGGCUGAUCCAGUACCCUUUAUCAAAGGGGUUGCAGGACAAGGUGAUUCGGGCUCGGGUAAAAAAUCAGUUGGUUAUAGUGAUGAUGAUAGUCGAUUAGGCGGACCAUUUCAGGGAGAUAAUACAUUAGUUUUUACAGCGACUUCCCGUGAUCGCCACUAUUGGCGUAUAGACACGAAGGAUACCUAUACAUCAAAAGGAUGGAUUCUUUCGCAAGGAAACUUUGGGAAAAAUUAUUAUCAAGCUAAUACACCUAUUUUAACUUCUUUACAGGUGGGAUCUCUAGAAAAAACGCGUGAAAUUCAGAUGGACAUCGCUGUUCCGAUGCCGUUUUUAAUACAAACGUAUGGGAUGCUGUCAGUUUCAGCACAGGAUUCAACCAUGUUUAUACAGGAUGAGCAAACUGAAAAAAUAGGAAUAGAGCAACAAAAUGAUGAGGAAAAAUUAUUAUCAAGCUAUACGCUAUCAUAUAGUGAGCCUGUCUAUAGUAUGGAGCAGCUUCAACUGUCAAAACCAUCCAUGCUGGAAACCUUGGACCCAUCCUUUAAUCGCUUUUUGCAAUUACCAAAUACACUUCCGCAGCGUGUAAGAGAAUUGGCGUUAGACAUGACUCAGGAUAAAACAUCGGUGUAUGAUCAAAUCAAAGCAAUAGAAAGAUAUUUUUCUACCAAUGGUUUUAGAUAUGAUAAAACUGCAGCAGCUAUUCCUGCUGAGGAUCAGGAUUAUGUUGAUCAAUUUUUAUUUGAUACAAAAAUUGGCUACUGUGAUAAUUUUUCAACAUCAAUGGUUGUACUUCUACGAUCGGUGGGUAUUCCAGCACGCUGGGUAAAAGGCUUUGCGCCAGGUGAUGCUGGUUCAGUGUCAGAUGGUUUACGUGAGUAUCGCAUUACAAAUGAUAAUGCACACUCAUGGGUGGAGGCAUAUGUACCUGGAACAGGCUGGAUGGAGUUUGAGCCAACGAUUGGCUUUACAGGAAAUGUGAAUAUUGAUUAUGAUAUUGAACGAGAAACGCCUCAGCAAGAACAAAUCACUCAGCCAGAGGAAAAAAAGGAGCAGCCGAAAAAAGAGCAAGAGCCAAAACACAAGGCUAAUAGUUCAACAUUUAGCUUAGAUGUAGUAUGGACAUGGUUGAAAAAACUCAAAUAUGUAUGGCUGGCUUUACUUGUUUUGCUCAUUGCUACUAGUAUUUCAUUGUAUACGAAACGUAGAACAUGGAUACCUAAAAUGCAAAUAAGAGCAUAUCGUAAAAAGGAAGCGGAUUGGACAAAUUUUGAUGCUUCUUAUCAGGAUUUAAUGAAGCAAUUAUCACGCAUCGGUUUACGACGAAAAGAUGGUGAAACAUUACGGGCAUUUGCUGAACGGGUGGAUGCAUCACUAGAGACAGAUGAAAUGCAAAAAUUAACUGCAGUUUAUGAACAGCAUAUUUAUGGCAAGGAAGCACAAAGUGUUGAUUUUAAGAAACUGAAAGAAAGUUGGGAAUAUUUAA
Molecule: ribosomal RNA, 2924 nt
Filed under: Lysinibacillus sp. B2A1
Lineage: Bacteria; Bacillati; Bacillota; Bacilli; Caryophanales; Bacillaceae
Description: 23S ribosomal RNA
Source: RNAcentral